RNAcentral lists this ribosomal RNA (468 nucleotides) under Granulicatella adiacens. RNAcentral describes it as "bacterial SSU rRNA". It matches the Rfam family "Bacterial small subunit ribosomal RNA", at positions 28 to 479 of the family's 1533-position model. Lineage: Bacteria; Bacillati; Bacillota; Bacilli; Lactobacillales; Carnobacteriaceae. The record is from RNAcentral.
GACGAACGCUGGCGGCGUGCCUAAUACAUGCAAGUCGAACGAGAGCGACCGGUGCUUGCACUGGUCAAUCUAGUGGCGAACGGGUGAGUAACACGUGGGUAACCUGCCCAUCAGAGGGGGAUAACAUUCGGAAACGGAUGCUAAAACCGCAUAGGUCUUCGAACCGCAUGGUUUGAAGAGGAAAAGAGGCGCAAGCUUCUGCUGAUGGAUGGACCCGCGGUGCAUUAGCUAGUUGGUGAGGUAACGGCUCACCAAGGCCGUGAUGCAUAGCCGACCUGAGAGGGUGAUCGGCCACAUUGGGACUGAGACACGGCCCAAACUCCUACGGGAGGCAGCAGUAGGGAAUCUUCCGCAAUGGACGCAAGUCUGACGGAGCAACGCCGCGUGAGUGAAGAAGGUUUUCGGAUCGUAAAACUCUGUUGUUAGAGAAGAACAUGCUAGAGUAACUGUUAGCGCCUUAACGGUAUC